RNAcentral lists this ribosomal RNA (527 nucleotides) under Lampris guttatus (North Atlantic opah). RNAcentral describes it as "partial 16S ribosomal RNA". It matches the Rfam family "Bacterial large subunit ribosomal RNA", at positions 1846 to 2586 of the family's 2925-position model. The record is from RNAcentral. Lineage: Eukaryota; Metazoa; Chordata; Actinopteri; Lampriformes; Lampridae.
UAAGAGGUCCCGCCUGCCCCGUGACAAUAGUUUAACGGCCGCGGUAUUCUGACCGUGCGAAGGUAGCGCAAUCACUUGUCUUUUAAAUGAAGACCUGUAUGAAUGGCACCACGAGGACUUAGCUGUCUCCCCUCUCCCGUCAGUAAAAUUGACCUACCCGUGCAGAGGCGGGUACACCCCCACAAGACGAGAAGACCCUGUGGAGCUUUAGGCCCAAGAAAGAGGACAUCAAGCCAGAAACAGCCACAGCCUAUCUUUCCCAAUGCCUUUGGUUGGGGCGACCACGGAGAUAAAACAAACCCCCGCGUGGACCGAGAGACCUCUCUUAGAACUAAGAGCCACCCCUCCAAGCACCAGAACAUCUGACCACCAAUGACCCGGCCCUGCCGACAAACGAACCGAGUUACCCCAGGGAUAACAGCGCAAUCCCCUUCCAGAGCCCCUAUCGACAAGGGGGUUUACGACCUCGAUGUUGGAUCAGGAUGUCCUAAUGGUGCAGCCGCUAUUAAGGGUUCGUUUGUUCAACG